CACAUCCGCAAGUUUUUAUUUGCUUCCAGUUGGCAAAAUUUAAACCAAUACUUAAAAACUAAGCAGGGAUUUUACAAAGUGAAAAACUAGACUGUUAGAUUGGAGUAGAAAAGAGAUCUUAUGUUUUAAUAUUUUGAAACUUAGAGUUUCACAAUUUAAAAUUAUUUCGAACCUUAGUUCAAAAAUCCCAGUUACUUAUCCAUAAGCAACAGAAAUAUUUGUUAAAUAUUAUGGCCUAUGGGUUACUGUGCUGGGCACUAUUUGCACUUGCCAAUGACAGAACGCAAUAAUCUCCUGUUUUCAUCGAAAGCUCUUCCAGUUCUAUGCAGGAGAAAUCAGUGUCUUCUUUUUCACC
This 355-nucleotide long non-coding RNA is filed under the name Bos taurus (domestic cattle). RNAcentral's name for it is "long non-coding RNA NONBTAT025689". Lineage: Eukaryota; Metazoa; Chordata; Mammalia; Artiodactyla; Bovidae. The record is from RNAcentral.